RNAcentral lists this ribosomal RNA (118 nucleotides) under Pteropus alecto (black flying fox). Lineage: Eukaryota; Metazoa; Chordata; Mammalia; Chiroptera; Pteropodidae. The record is from RNAcentral.
GUCUAUAGCCAUACCACCCUGAACAAGCCCGAUCCCGUCUGAUCUCGGAAGCUAAGCAAGGUCGGGCCCGGUUAGUAUUGGAUGGGAGACCACCUAGGAAGACCAGGUGCUUUAGGUG